Molecule: ribosomal RNA, 292 nt
Filed under: uncultured bacterium
Lineage: Bacteria
Description: partial 16S ribosomal RNA
Rfam family: Bacterial small subunit ribosomal RNA
Source: RNAcentral
GUGUCAGCCGCCGCGGUAAUACGAAGGGGGCUAGCGUUGCUCGGAAUUACUGGGCGUAAAGCGCACGUAGGCGGCUUUCUAAGUCGGGGGUGAAAUCCUGGAGCUCAACUCCAGAACUGCCUUCGAUACUGGAAAGCUCGAGUCCGGGAGAGGUGAGUGGAACUGCGAGUGUAGAGGUGAAAUUCGUAGAUAUUCGCAAGAACACCAGUGGCGAAGGCGGCUCACUGGCCCGGUACUGACGCUGAGGUGCGAAAGCGUGGGGAGCAAACAGGAUUAGAAACCCCCGUAGUCC